Molecule: long non-coding RNA, 2710 nt
Organism: Anastrepha ludens (Mexican fruit fly)
Lineage: Eukaryota; Metazoa; Arthropoda; Insecta; Diptera; Tephritidae
Exons: 3
Source: RefSeq, a predicted model, not a curated record
CUCCUGGUGCUCCUUUGCUCGACCUUUUCAAAUUUCAUUUUUUUCAACAGUAACAUUUGCGUAUUCUCAUUUUUGCCGUUUUUUUUACAUAAACACCUGUCAACUAUGGAAUCGAAGAAGAAGAAGAUGUUACAAAAACCAAGAGUGAUGCCAGACUGUCGCUAAUAGUAUACAUACAUAUGUGCAUAUAUUAUAUGCUACCCAUUUUAAUAACGUUUUCAUUUAUUAGAUCUAAAAAACACAUAAUUAUAUAUUUUGUAAUUCUUAUAUUAUACGUAUUUUCAUGCUCAUUGAACAGGGGUUAAAAUAAAAAAAUGUCAGAAAAAUACAGAAACACAAUACAGAAGCGAAACGAGCAAGAGAUGCGCGGGCGUCAGUAUAAAAACAUACCACAGUGCUGUGAGGGGCUUUGGAUUAGACCAAUCAUUAACCAAAUGCUGUCAUAUUAUGUUCAGACCAAAGAUUAAUGCGGUAUUUAUCGUUGUUAAAUGGAGUAUGUGGUUGAUUUGAUUUAUAAUACGUUCACAUAUAAGUAGAUGAUCUACUUUUUCGUGCUUAACUCCCAAUCCGUAAUUAAAAAGAGAGAUUUCCCAUACAAAAUUUCUCUCCCAAAAUGUGAAAUUAUAAAAUAGUACUAGAUAAUAACGAUACUUUUUGACAUACAUAUUUUUACGAAUGUAAAGAAAAACGUCAAAGUAAAAACUAAAUAAAAUGGAUGCCGGCAAAGAAAACAGGUUUUAGGCAAAAUGUUAAUGAAAUGUUUGUUAAGUAUUAUUAAUUAUGCAUUCAUACAACAGAGAAAAGGGUAUUUCCAUAAAGGCUUUGUUCACCUGUUACUUAUUAUAAAAUGUAAUAUCGAAAUUCGCAUGUGUAUUGCUGGCAUAAUUUUUUGAAACCUCAGUAAACGUCAUUUACGGAUUUCCUCCAAUUGUUUAUUACUAGUAGUUAUUUGCGCAAUUAAAUAAGCUAUUCCUUCUGUUGUUGUUGUUGUUGUAGCAGCAUAAACAUUCCCCAUACUUACAUACGGUGAAUGCUGCUGGAGUGACAGUCCUUGGCCGGUCACGUAGAACCGACUGUCGUGGAAACGAGCUAUUCCUUCUCCUUGUCGUUUCUUCAUAUCGUUAAUAAUAAUUAAACAACCCAAAAUAUACCACAAAAGCAAUUUCUAUGAGGAAAACCUCAAAGCAGUAUUGACAGCUGAUUGUCAAUUUUGCAGAUAAUCUGCCAAUGUGUACGGAUUUAUUGGUAAUUAAUGCAUAUUUGAUCGUACUUUCAACAAGAUUACGCCUUACCAAAAUGUGACUUAAUUAUCGACCUUGAAUUAGCGCCCUCUGUUUGUAAAAACAACCAACACAGUUGAUUCUGACAAUAAUCAAAUGUCAAACCAUUAAACCAAAACGAAACAAAGCGAAAACAUUUUUUGAUAGAAAAAACCUUUCAUUUAAUGAAAAAUAUAAACAAGAGUUUUAUGGAGCGACGCGGCAGAAGUAGGAGUCAUGGAAUUGUGGCGGCAGAGAAUGCCAUACCUACGUUCGGACCGAAAAAAAGGGCACGUCUAUGAGGAGGUGGCCAGGAACUUGGGAAGUGUUGGGCAUGUUUACAGUGGAAUGGAGUUGUAGACAAGAAAAGUCGAAAAUUUGUACUUUGGGUGUAUCUCCAUCAAAAUGCAAAUGCUACGGUGCAGUCAACAAAGCCCUGGACGUUCUCUCUCUUCGAUUUGGACUGGACUGAAGUGUACGAAUACAUUGAAUGUGAAACAGAUGGAGAAUCAGCAAUAAGCGCACCACUUCCCAGGCCUACUGCAUCCAAUUUAUCCAUCCGCAUCAGUGAUGGAGAAUAUGGGCGCAAACUUUUUGAAACAAACAAUGUAAGCGAAAUAAAAGAAGCUUCUGUAGAGUUCCUUCCUCGCCAAUAUUAAUUAGCUGAGUAAUAAACAGCUACAAGAACGAAAGUUUCGAUAUAAACUUAGUCUUAAGUAUAUAUUAUAUUGUAUUCUACUGAAUUAAUAUAAAGAUUAACUCAGCAAAUUAAGAAAAAAAAAAAUGGUUUUCUUAUUUCCUCUGCCCUUGCGUUAAAAUUUCCAAAUAUGUUGGGGUUGUUUCCUGGCCACUGUUGACUUUGGUCUUCAGUUUGCUGUGCCGCAAUACACUUUUCAUUGCUUUUGUCACUUUCCUCGUUGAGAAAGUUGUGUAUUUGUCCAAGCCUUUGCCAACUCUCCUAAGCCUCGAUAGGGCAAAAUUAAUUUUUUUCUAGUUUGAAGGCCGAGUCGCCUAGCAACAUGACUGGAACAUUGACGGAUGAUAUUUUCUUACUCAUGCCUUUAACUAAGAUGCAUUGUUGGAACUGCAGUUUUAAAGACAAGCUCUCAAGGCUGCUGAACCAUUACAAAGGCCUGAGCUGUGAAAUUAUAUCUACAAAAUAAUGAGAGAAAAAUUUUAAUAAGUUUCAUCCACCAAAUCCAAAGGGAAUGUAGAAUACCAGCCUUAUAAUUGCAAUAAUCAACUGCAUCUUCUACUGCUGGAUGAACUUCUACGUGACACCCAUCUGAAACCUUCAUGUUAAAUUAAUCCCUUUAUAAAGAGCACCCUUUCUUACCAAUAGCUCCUAUUACUUGAGGGAAACCAACCAUUUUAAUACUCCUUUAAUUUCGUUCGUUGGGAAUUUGUUUUAUAGUCCAGUAAAAAGAAGAUUUAAUUAAUAAUUUUAGGAG